This 480-nucleotide ribosomal RNA is filed under the name uncultured bacterium. RNAcentral describes it as "partial 16S ribosomal RNA". It matches the Rfam family "Bacterial small subunit ribosomal RNA", at positions 28 to 507 of the family's 1533-position model. The record is from RNAcentral.
GACGAACGCUGGCGGCGCGCUUAACACAUGCAAGUCGAGCGAUGAAACUUUAACAGAACCCUUCGGGGCGAAGAUAAAGUGGAUUAGCGGCGGACGGGUGAGUAACACGUGAGUAACCUGCCUUAGACAUUGGGAUAGCCUCGGGAAACCGGGAUUAAUACCAAAUAAAAUCAUAAUGACACAUGUCAUAACGAUCAAAACUCCGGUGGUCUAAGAUGGACUCGCGUCCCAUUAGCUAGUUGGUAGAGUAAAAGCCUACCAAGGCGACGAUGGGUAGCCGGCCUGAGAGGGUGAACGGCCACAUUGGAACUGAGAAACGGUCCAAACUCCUACGGGAGGCAGCAGUGGGGAAUAUUGCACAAUGGAGGGAACUCUGAUGCAGCGACGCCGCGUGAACGAAGGAGGCUUUCGAGUCGUAAAGUUCUUUUAUAUGGGAAGAUAAUGACGGUACCAUAAGAAAAAGCCCCGGCUAACUACGUG